CGCGGGGUGGAGCAGUCUGGUAGCUCGUCGGGCUCAUAACCCGGAGGCCGCUGGUUCAAAUCCAGCCCCCGCCACCA
This 77-nucleotide transfer RNA is filed under the name Thermoanaerobacteraceae bacterium SP2. RNAcentral's name for it is "tRNA-Met". It matches the Rfam family "tRNA". Rfam says of the family: Transfer RNA (tRNA) molecules are approximately 80 nucleotides in length. Their secondary structure includes four short double-helical elements and three loops (D, anti-codon, and T loops). RNAcentral also lists the same sequence under 3 other names. Lineage: Bacteria; Bacillati; Bacillota; Clostridia; Thermoanaerobacterales; Thermoanaerobacteraceae. The record is from RNAcentral.